GUACUGCUGAAGAAUCCCAAAAUAGGACGAAACGGUCAUCCUGUAC
RNAcentral lists this non-coding RNA (46 nucleotides) under Schistosoma margrebowiei. Lineage: Eukaryota; Metazoa; Platyhelminthes; Trematoda; Strigeidida; Schistosomatidae. The record is from RNAcentral.